Molecule: long non-coding RNA, 760 nt
Organism: Physeter macrocephalus (sperm whale)
Lineage: Eukaryota; Metazoa; Chordata; Mammalia; Artiodactyla; Physeteridae
Exons: 6
Source: RefSeq, a predicted model, not a curated record
AAGAUGGAGGAUCGAAUGAGGGCAGUGUGAAUGUGAAUUAAUGCUAGGAGAGAGAGACAAAAAGCAACAGGAGUAAGAAAACUUGGAAUAUAUUAGAAUGGCGACUUCAAGAUAAGAAGAGAAACAACAUAGUGAUAUCUUCGAAUUUCACAAAAGAUCUCUUUUCCAUCCCAGAUGGCAUUCUCUCACAGGCUUCAGCCAAAAUUCCAGCUGCCAGCACAUAAACCUUCUGAAAAGGAAGACAUCAGAUUUAUACAUCAUUGUUGGCAUUUGGAUGGAUUGAUUCUCACUUAGAGCUAUCUGAGUUUAGAGAUCUCACCCUUCCCCAGAUAUGCACCUGCCUGGCUACUUGAAAGCGGAUGGAUGCCGUGCCUGACUUGUGCAAUUUAACCCAUCACUUCAGGAACCAUUGUUACCGUUGCAACAAGCAGAUGUCACUGCAGACUGUGUGAAAAUGUCAGAGAAAAUGAAGCAAAUCUAAGAAGUAGUAGAAGUGAAAUCUCACCCUUAAAAUGAAGCCUCUCCAAGGAACUUGACUCUAUGAAAUCAUAAGCAAUCAACUCUAUGGAAUCUGCGGACUGCUGAGUCUAAAAGAAGAGACUGAAAAAUCAAGUAGAUGAAACCCACACAAAUGUUAAGGUAACGGGAUGACUAUGUUGUCUCAGUAGAGGCCACAGGUCUCAAGGAUGCCAAGCAAUAGAAUAUGGAUGGAUGCACUGAUGCAAAUCCAUCUCCCUUCCUGCAAAACCAACUAAAUCGA